Long non-coding RNA from Scylla paramamosain (green mud crab), 556 nucleotides. RefSeq lists it as uncharacterized. The record is from RefSeq and is a predicted model, not a curated record. Lineage: Eukaryota; Metazoa; Arthropoda; Malacostraca; Decapoda; Portunidae. The transcript is spliced from 3 exons.
GGGGGAGAGGGUUACCGUGGCUGUCAGGUCAGGGCUCACUUCGACCUUCAAACUCGGCGAGCGGAGCGAGGAAUCAAUACAGUGGCCAAGGUCAGUGCAGCGAGGAGUCACCCUGGAGGUCACACUGUCUGCACUGAUAGGAUGGUGUUAGCUGGGAGGGACUUGUAAGCUGUGUCGUUCCUUCCCAUUGAGAGUCGUCCGCUGCUGGUUUUCCUCCACUCGUGUGAAUCUUGGACUUGAUACUCACGUGAAGAAGAAAGUCAUCCGUGAUAGUUUACUCUGGGAAUCACAGCGGUAACUUGGCCACACACAAGCUGCGUCCAUCGCGUGAGAAACAAGAAGAUUAUUACACGCAAACACAAAGGGACGGAGGGGGAGAAAAAAAAAAAUCUUAGCAACACAACAUGCCUUAGCUCCACGCGCAAGUUUCUCUCGUAAAUGCGAAUACAGUGAGGCAGGGAUCUUAAAUGUAAUUCCCUGUUUUAUUUGAAAUUCAUAGCUAAAGAGAAUUGUGUAGCUGUUAAAAUAUAAAUAAGCCUUGUAAUUUGAAUUUUUA